GGAGUUAGCCGGUGCUUCUUCUGUGAGUGAUGUCCUUCCUGCCGGCUAUUAACCCGCAGGCCUUCUUCCUCACUGAAAGUGCUUUACAACCCGAAGGCCUUCUUCACACACGCGGCAUGGCUGGAUCAGGGUUGCCCCCAUUGUCCAAUAUUCCCCACUGCUGCCUCCCGUAGGAGUCUGGGCCGUGUCUCAGUCCCAGUGUGGCUGAUCAUCCUCUCAGACCAGCUACGGAUCGUCGCCUUGGUGAGCCGUUACCUCACCAACCAGCUAAUCCGACAUAGGCUCAUCCGAUAGCGCGAGGCCCGAAGGUCCCCCGCUUUCCCCCGUAGGGCGUAUGCGGUAUUAGCCUGGGUUUCCCCAGGUUAUCCCCCACUACCGGGCAGAUUCCUAUGCAUUACUCACCCGUCCGCCGCUCGCCACCAGGGAGCAAGCUCCCCGUGCUGCCGCUCGACUUGCAUGUGUUAGGCCUGCCGCCAGCGUUCAAUCUGAACCAGAUCAAAUUCUAGA
Molecule: ribosomal RNA, 507 nt
Filed under: uncultured bacterium
Lineage: Bacteria
Description: partial 16S ribosomal RNA
Source: RNAcentral